UUUGGUGGUCAUAGCCCGUGCUAAACUCCCGAUCCCAUCCCGAACUCGAUGGAUAAGGGCACGAACGCCAAUGGUACUGCGACCCAAGUCGUGGGAGAGUAGGUCACCGCCAAAC
RNAcentral lists this ribosomal RNA (115 nucleotides) under Pararhodobacter marinus. Lineage: Bacteria; Pseudomonadati; Pseudomonadota; Alphaproteobacteria; Rhodobacterales; Paracoccaceae. The record is from RNAcentral.